This 394-nucleotide ribosomal RNA is filed under the name uncultured bacterium. RNAcentral's name for it is "bacterial SSU rRNA". It matches the Rfam family "Bacterial small subunit ribosomal RNA", at positions 28 to 428 of the family's 1533-position model. The record is from RNAcentral.
GACGAACGCUGGCGGCGUGCUUAACACAUGCAAGUCGAGCGGUAAGGCCCUUUCGGGGGUACACGAGCGGCGAACGGGUGAGUAACACGUGGGUGACCUGCCCUCAGCUCUGGGAUAAGCCUGGGAAACCGGGUCUAAUACCGGAUAUGACUCCAUGACGCAUGUUGUGGGGUGGAAAGCCUUGUGCGGCUGAGGAUGGGCCCGCGGCCUAUCAGCUUGUUGGUGGGGGAUGGCCUACCAAGGCGACGACGGGUAGCCGGCCUGAGAGGGCGACCGGCCACACUGGGACUGAGACACGGCCCAGACUCCUACGGGAGGCAGCAGUGGGGAAUCUUGCGCAAUGGGCGAAAGCCUGACGCAGCGACGCCGCGUGAGGGAUGACGGCCUGGUGUAA